Molecule: long non-coding RNA, 1084 nt
Organism: Sapajus apella (tufted capuchin)
Lineage: Eukaryota; Metazoa; Chordata; Mammalia; Primates; Cebidae
Exons: 3
Source: RefSeq, a predicted model, not a curated record
ACCCAGGAGUUGGAGGUUGCAGUGAGCUAAGAUAGUGCCACUGCACUCCAGCCUGGGUGACAGAGUGAGAUUCCAUCUCUAAAUUAAUUAAUUGUUUAAUUAAAUAAGUGAUUAAUAUGCUAAGAGCUCUAAUGGAAAAAAUACUAGAAAUCAAAAACAAUCUUUUGGCUUCCCUGAACCAAAUUGGAAGAAGAAGAAUUGUCUUGAGACGCACAUAAAAUACACUAAAAUUAAUGAUAGCUAAUGAGCUAAAAAAAUUUUUAAAAAUAACAAAAAAACUCAUGAUAUUUUAAUAAAGUUUAUGAAUUUGUGUUGGGCCACCUGCGGCCUGCAGGCAGUCAGUUGGACAAGUAGCUUGCUGUAAUAAGAAUGAAGAAUGCCUUUUGAUGGGCUUAGACAUAGGAAAGGAAAGAAUUAGUGACCUUGAAGAUAUGUCUAUUGAAAUGCCCCAAACUGAAAAGUGAAGAGAAAAAAAGAAAAUACAGUUUUACCUUAAUGAACAUUCAGGCAUGAAAUGCUACACUAAUGGCCCCCAAUAAUUCAUGCCUCCUCAGUAUUCAUUUAGCCUCAACCCACAAUAACUUUGGCCAAGAAGACAUCAGCAAACAUGACCCAGGUAGAAUCCUGAUAGCCCUUACACUGUAGGACUUGCCUUCUAGGAGUGUGGCCCUGAGAUGGCAUGUGAAAAAAAGCCAGGCUAGUCUCCAUCAGGAUGAAAGACCAUAAAGAGGCAGGCCAGUGCAGUCAUCCCACCAAACCCAGCCCCAGGUAACCAACCAGCUGAGUGCAGUCACAUGAAUAACCUAGUCAAAACAGCAGAAACUGCCCAGUCAACCCACUGAAUCAUGAGAAAUAAAAUGAUUCUAGUUGUAAGCCAGUAAAUUUUAGGUUCAUUCGUUAUACAACAAUAAUCGCAAGAAAGAAAGUAGUAUUCUGCAUUGCUUCAUGAGCCAAAUAUGAAUGAAUUUACAAAGAUGGAAGUGUUGACACUGACGAAAACAUAUGUUUGGGCAGUUCAGGCAUGAGUGGAUAGGAAAGGGAUAGAAAUGUAGAGAAGCAGGAGGUGAAACAGAAGACUUUCAAA